UGCUACCUUUGAAGGACGACCCGACGAGACGCGCCGUACCGGGCUGUAAGGCAAAGACGACGCACC
RNAcentral lists this non-coding RNA (66 nucleotides) under Streptomyces sp. The record is from RNAcentral. RNAcentral also lists the same sequence under 1 other name. Lineage: Bacteria; Bacillati; Actinomycetota; Actinomycetes; Kitasatosporales; Streptomycetaceae.